GUGUUCGCUUUGGCAACACAUAUACUAAAAAAUUGGAAUGAUACAGAGAUUAGCAUGGCCCCUGCGCAAGGAUGACAAAAGAAAGAAACUUUUUUUGUGUGU
This is a small nuclear RNA of Dipodomys spectabilis (banner-tailed kangaroo rat), 102 nucleotides long. The record is from RefSeq and is a predicted model, not a curated record. NCBI's taxonomy places the organism in Eukaryota, Metazoa, Chordata, Mammalia, Rodentia, Heteromyidae.